AGAUUGAACGCUGGCGGCAUGCCUUACACAUGCAAGUCGAACGGCAGCACGGGAGCAAUCCUGGUGGCGAGUGGCGAACGGGUGAGUAAUACAUCGGAACGUGCCCAAUCGUGGGGGAUAACGCAGCGAAAGCUGUGCUAAUACCGCAUAAGAUCUACGGAUGAAAGCGAGGGGAUCGCAAGA
Molecule: ribosomal RNA, 183 nt
Filed under: uncultured soil bacterium
Lineage: Bacteria
Description: partial 16S ribosomal RNA
Rfam family: Bacterial small subunit ribosomal RNA
Source: RNAcentral